Long non-coding RNA from Folsomia candida, 520 nucleotides. RefSeq lists it as uncharacterized. Lineage: Eukaryota; Metazoa; Arthropoda; Collembola; Entomobryomorpha; Isotomidae. The transcript is spliced from 2 exons. The record is from RefSeq and is a predicted model, not a curated record.
CUGACAAGUGAUCACGUUCACAGCGAAUAUAUAUUUUAUGCUACUCAUAAUUCUCAUCAUUUUCUGUGUAACAAGACUCUAACGACAUUGCAAAAGCAAAAACUCAAAAUUUUACUCCCUUAAAAUAGCUACAGUAUCAAGGCAGAGCAGCAACAAAAAUGGGAACCAAAGUCAUUAUCAUGUUGUUUUUAUGUCUUAUCGAAUACGUAAUUAUUGACGCAAACCCCAUACGUGACCCAUCAAGUAAAGAUCAAACCGAUUUUGCUCAUGAUUCAGAAACCAAUUCGGGAAUUAUUUCAAGCUACAAACAAUAUCAAUUCCCUGCAAUGAGGUCUCUGUUAAUGACUCGGAUGAAAAGAUCGCCCUACUUCACAAAUUGGGUAUACGGAAAGCAAUGGGGUUAAAUUUUGUCCAUUUAUUUCGCAUUUUUAAUAUAACAAAGUGUCAAAUUUUUGAUAACCUAAUCUCGAAAGGAAACAAGAUAAUUUUGUAAAUCGUUUGAAAUAAAAUAUUUGAAAUA